RNAcentral lists this long non-coding RNA (283 nucleotides) under Salvia miltiorrhiza (redroot sage). RNAcentral's name for it is "long non-coding RNA (SMIL_LNC005664)". The record is from RNAcentral. Lineage: Eukaryota; Viridiplantae; Streptophyta; Magnoliopsida; Lamiales; Lamiaceae.
GUGGAAGGGUGCGUCUGUUGGGAGAAGGCCUUGACCGAACCAUCACAGCCAUUCGGUCAAGGGGUGCCAUGACCGAACCAUUGCAAUGGUUCGGCCCAAGCAGCCGCCCAGCCUCAUCCGUUCAGAGCCACCCGGACCUUAUCCGCCAUGUCAUGGAACCGCCUGUGCCACGUCAGCGUCCGCCCACCCUGCCACGUCACCGAACCGCCGAGCCAUGUUGCCACGUCACCCGAGCCACCGUUUCAUUUGUCAAAACUAAAGGCUCCUCAAUGCUCCUCGCGAC